CGAAAUUCAAAAAUAUCGAAUGCCAUGUUGAUGUUGCACAGAAGGAAAGUUGGAACGAGAGUGUCACGAACAGGGGGGUCAUGAUUAGUUUGAGAUGGAAGAAGAUGAAGACAUUUUAAAGACCGUUGCUGCAUUGUGCCUGAGAUGAUCCCCACAGCGCUGGCAUUUUAUAACUUGGUGGAUGUAGAUGCUCAGCCAAUCAGUCACUAGGCUUGUGAAUAUAGAAUCCGGAUGCUCACAAGGACAAGAACUGUAUGAAAAAACCAAAAAGAAAUUGUGCAAAGAAACUUUGAAGUGUCUGUGGGUAUGAUCAACGUCCAACUUCCUGAGCCUUCGUACUGAAAGUGAAUCCGUUCGUGACACCAAUUAUCUGUCAACCCUCUAACGUGACCAUUUACU
Long non-coding RNA from Saccostrea cuccullata (small rock oyster), 399 nucleotides. RefSeq lists it as uncharacterized. The transcript has 4 exons. NCBI's taxonomy places the organism in Eukaryota, Metazoa, Mollusca, Bivalvia, Ostreida, Ostreidae. The record is from RefSeq and is a predicted model, not a curated record.